This is a long non-coding RNA of Spinacia oleracea (spinach), 5692 nucleotides long. RefSeq lists it as uncharacterized. The transcript has 4 exons. The record is from RefSeq and is a predicted model, not a curated record. NCBI's taxonomy places the organism in Eukaryota, Viridiplantae, Streptophyta, Magnoliopsida, Caryophyllales, Amaranthaceae.
AAAUCAUUUUCUUUUCGGAGACUUAUGAUAAAAUUGGAACGAUACAGAGAAGAUUAGCAUGACCCCUACGCAAGGAUGACACGCACAAAUCGAGAAAUGAAAAACUUGUUCUAUCAUCUGAAGUGUCUUUGCUGCAAUUCCUGACUCUCCUUAUGGCCUUCUGUGCCAUGAUAUACGAGACUGUUGGCAGCUGAUUUCUUCACGCACCCUAAAUAAAAGGCCAACAUGAGAGGAUAUGAAAAGUAUGUUGCGAACAAAAGCAUACUUUGUUUCAGCCUUUUGGCUUAAAUUACGUAUUUCUCAUCUGUUGAAUAUUUGAUUUACGGGUGAGUUUGUUUAGAGGGAACCAAGGAGGUAUUCGUCACAAUAGCCUGCAGAACUCUCAUGGUAUGCUGUAGGAAAUAACCAUUUUUAUUUAUUAUAUCUGGAUUUGAGAAAUUGUUAUUAACAUUGAUCACCAUAAUGUGUAGUCAAAAUCUAAUGUUUUCCAUAAAAAUACUUACACUCGUAAAUUUUCCUGUUUGUAAUGGACUAUUGGUCAUUCGACAUGUCAAAUUGUCUCACAUAGAGAAGCGACAUUUGAGGCCGGAAUGGAAGAAAAGAUAGAUAGAGGGCCAAACAACAACUGUCCAAGUUCAACCCUUAUCAGGGAAAAAUCUAUGGAGGUUCCAAUGUUUAUUGAAGCGAAGCUAGGAGCAAGAAAGAAAUGCAUGACUCCUGUACAAGGAUGAUACGAACAAGAUGAGAAACGGUCCAACUAUAUAUCUAUAGUUGUCUCUUUUUCUUUACCAGGUUAUGUUCUCUCUUCUGAAGUUUGAUUCUCAAUAACUCCACCUUACAACUUUAUCUGUCUAAAGUCCAAACUCAGUUAUGGAUUGUCUAAACAGUCGUUGCUUUUGACAUUUGUCAAGUGCUACACAUGGUCUGCAUAAGUGUUUGUACUCUCCUAGAGCACCAUAAUGCCUCUGACAAUGCAAGAAGGUAUUGAUAAAAUUAGUACUUAUUGUAUGCCUAUCUGCAGUAAUUUGAUUACUCUGAUUUCUUAUUAAAAUUCAGUUGUUUCAUUGCAAAUAUAUCAUCAGCUUGUGUCCAUGUCAAUAGCAAUUUGGAACUUUCUUUUUUAUCAUUGAUUACCAAACAGUUAGAGAGCUGAUAGGUCACUUGUUGAUAAGGAAACUUGCACUAGACUUUUUGGAAGCUCCUUUAAAAGAACUCCCUCCAAAAAUAAACGUAUGCCACUGAAUGCAACGAGCACACGGUAUUCUUUAGUAAAAGGCGAAAGAAUAGUUCUCUUUGUGUUCACUGCGUGGCUGCGUGAGUGUAUAAAGAAAUUGGUUCAGUUAUUUAUAAUGUAGUCGUUGUUUGGAUCUUAUUUCUUGAUUGAUGUGGGACUGGUGUGCUUUUCCCUUGCAUCUUACAGUGAAUAUUUAGCUCUAGGGAAAGAUAUUCACACAAACUAAAUGUUUUGCUCGCAUCUUAAUGCGUGGUUGAUUCUACUGAUAGAAAAUGUCAUUUGUUUGAUGUUACUUCAGAACUAUGUAGCUGAACUUUUUGGUUGUACAUUUGAGAUUUUCUGCUGAAUAGGAACUUGAAUUACUUUAAGGGUGGAUAAAAAGAUUAAUCUUCGCCACUGGAUAGCAAGACUGGAAUCAAUCUACUUUAAUGGCAGAGUUUGUCCAAUCCUUGUGUUGAAACAACUGAAGCUAUAGCUUUUAAAUUCCAUCACCCAACAAUUGAUCUCCAAUUACAGUAUUUUUGAGAAUUGAAUAAUUUACAGUAUUGGUAAAAUUAUACCCAAGUAAAGUGGACGUGUUAUCACUGUUUAUAGCAUCACUUAUUUGACCCAAAUAAAGUAAGAACUCAUAAAUCAAGUAAUGUUCCAUGCCAAAGACGUAAGAGUCGUGCAAGAACAAAUAAAUUGACCCAAAUAAAUUAAGAACAUAUAAAUUCACACCUAUUUUAUAAAUGUGUGUAAGAUUAAAAAAUUUAAAAGAACUAUCUACUUGUAAAACGGUAUCUUGUGGAUGGUUCUACGAAGGUUAGUUGUUUAUCUUUAUCAUCCUACUCCCUCCGUCCCAGAUUAGUUGUUACACUUUCCUUUUUCGGCCGUCCCAAAUUAGUUGUUACACUUCUAAAUUAGGAAUGACCCCACAAUUAAUAUAUUGUCUCUCUCUUCCCACUAUAUAUUUUUUUGUCCCCACACCCUCUCUCAAUCAAUUAAAAAAAUACCCCACUAACUCCUAUCACAUCUACUUUUUCAAUAAAAUAACAAUUGAUAACCAAACAACCACUUAUCACCUAAAACUUUGUGCAAAUGAAAGUGUAACGACUAUUAUGGGACGGAGGGAGUAAUAUGUUUAGGGGGCUUAGGAACUGUAGAGUUAUUUUCUAAUAGGAGUUUAGAAGCUCACUGUAAGGUGGGUGUGUGUGUUUGUGCGCGCGUGCGCACAACCAAAUGUAAGUGUGAGUGUCCAACUUGUGUGAUGCAUUAUUUUUAGUCGAGUAAUAUUUUGUGCAUGGUUCUCGUGAGAGAUUUUACAAGUUGUGUGUGUUUCUCACUAUUGUUUUCCUUUGACUCCUUUACUUUCAUAUUUUGACCCCUUACAUCCACCAGACUUGGUUAGGUUCAUAAUACAGGAACCAUACAAACAUGGCACACUAGAGAAAACAUUUUUUGCUUCAUUGCGGUUUAAGAACAUGUGGUUUGUAAAUCUACCAAAAACAAGUUUUAGUUUGGCUACUGAUAUUAAAUUCAUUUGUGGUUAUAUUUGAUGGCAUUGUUGAGUUUGUUCAUUUGUCUAAAGUUACCAUAUUUGAGCUAAUUAUAGCAUUUAUUCCAGUAAAAUGGUUGUAGAUGUUGUUAUGCUUUUGUUUUUGAAGAGAGCGUGUAUCAUUUUAUUCGGUGAUCUCAGCUCUUGCCUUCCAUUUUGGGGCCUUUCUGAGAGUAGAAGUCAAGGUUGUAGUUAUACAAGUUUAGUUGCAGACUGUCGUGUCUUAAGACUAGUGUAGUUUAAUUCUACAAUUAUUUGGUACUUGGAUGCUCUAAAAUUCUGAAGGUUUUGGCAUCUGGGGUGGAGAGUCGUGUAGUACUUGUAACUGGUGCGCUAAGGCUUUUGCUGAAGGAAGAAGUACCUACUUGAAUGCUCAACGAAGCAGACCUUAUGCCAUUUAAUGCGGCGAAGAGGUACCCACUUAAAUGCUCUAGUCUCUGUUGAAAAUAAUGAAACCAGAAUCUGGAGGUUUAAGAUGACAAAUUAACAAUUGAUCUUUAAUUACUAUAUGCGAGAGACAUACCAUUAACAGUAUUUCUACAAUUCAAUGGAUUCAAUUGAUGUGACACUUUGUAUGGAUAACAUUUUUUAGGAACAGGGAUGAACUGCAGAAUUAGAGACCACAUAGAGCUCUUCAUAUUUUCUUCGUACAUACAUGUUAUGAUUGCGAGUGAUAAGAGGAAAACUGUUUAUUUGUACACUAAGUGUUUGGUAUAUUUCCUUUACAUGAGCUCUUUCAGGCAAUGAAUGGAGUGCGUUAUCCCAACUUUUGUUUUGAAGUACAUUGAUGGGAUAUAUUCUUAUGAACUUACACAUUGAUAUGAAGAUAUAGGAAAGAAGAAGAUCAAAUAUGAUUGGUAACUGUAGAAUAAGCAAUAAUGAAGAUCAGUACAAGCGUUUGAGAAGCUUUUCCCCUCCCAAAAUGCAAAAGGAAGCUUAAAUAAACUCUCAAUUGUAUUAGACAAUUUCUCCUUUUCUUCUCGCUCUCAACGCUAACUAAUUCUCAGAUUCUCCCUCAAACAGAAACAUGAAUUCAUACCCCGUAGUACCCUUCCCUUAGGUUAGUUACUUGCAGAGAGUUGUCUUCUUCGGGCUCGGUCUAAUGCCAAUAGGGUCAUAUUUUCCUUGUCUGAUUUACAACAUAGUUAGCAAACCAAAGUUCCAGCAAACUCACUUUUCUUUUACUGAUGUGUUCUGUUACAUUUCUUGAUAGAAAAAUUGUUGGUUCUUUUAAGGUAACAAAAUGAGGUUAAGUUAGGAACAUAUGCUAUUGAAAUCUUCCUGUUUGUUGCUAUUGACAAAAAUUUGUCACUUGGCAGAAAGAAGGGAAAAUCAAUUAUUAUUUUUUCAAUUUGAUUGAUUUUAAGUACUAAUAUGCUAAGAGAAGCAUUUCAAUGUUUUGUACUUAUGCUUCAUCUUGAGUUGAAAGUGGCGUAUGCUUCAUCUUGAGCUGAAAGUGGCGUGAGAUCCUGCCCAGAAAAUUCUAAUGUAUUAUCACAACAGGUCCAACACGUCAAACAGCGAAUCAUUCAUGCUUAAAAAGUGCCAAAUCUGAAGAUGUCAAGACAGGCAGGCAGGACACUAGGUAAACCUUUUUGCUCACAUGUUGUCAUGGAAGAAGUAGAGACUUGGGGAAGUAUUUAAGUGAACUUUUUUUUUUUUUUUUUUUUUUUUGUCGGGAAGUAUUUAGUGAGGUUAUUUUCACACCUUUUGAAGCUACUCAACUAGUGAGAUAUGUGUCAAAUAAAGGGUAAAUGAAGUAAUAUUAUUAAAGUAUGCCAUUUAUAGAAACGAACCAUAUUAAGGGACGUAGGGAGUAUACUUCAAUUUCCCCUAUAAGAUUGUCUUUUCAGAGACAAGUCAGUGGACUCCGGAACCAUUCUUGACCACGCGACACAUCUGAUAAACUAGUAUUUUGGUGGUAUUCGAUCAGUAUGGUUUCCCUGAAAAGCAGAGCCUUCUGGCUGGGAUUGAUUUGCAAUGGUGAUACUCAAUAGACAUGUCCUAAUGUCCCUGAUUUGUUCACAUCAAACAUCAGUCAAUCACAUGUUACUGUGUUUCACAAUGAGGUUUACAGAAGUAUUAUUCUGCAUUGAAAAGAUAUUGAAGUAAUGUUUUGGCAGUUAUGAACUUUUGGUUCAUGUUGAAGUAAAUUUGUAUGAUCAUCGUUGCUAUAAUCAGGCCUAAAGCACUGAAAUACUUGGAAGUGCCAUUAUAUGAAGAUGUUUUGGAAAGGAAUCUCAUUAAAAAGAUUUACUCCUUGGUAUCAAACAACUCCUGCAAUAGCAAGUUCAAAUUGUUCAUAAUAAGUUUGCAAAGUACUUGGCCUUGUGGCUGUGGGAUUUGCAUAAAGUUAUCCCUUGAUGGUUAGUCAACGAUUAAUGCGUAAUGUUAUUCCUUAAACAAUUUUCACUUUAUAAAGUUAUGAUUUGACUAUAAGCUUGUCAAAUGCUACACAUGGUGUCACCAGGCAAGUAAGACAAUGAAGGACACUCAACAAAUUUCAUAUCACGAAGACGAGGCAUGUCACCGGGCUUCAAUUCGUCCCACCUUAUAAGUCUUUCUUGUUGGAAAUAAUGCAUUGUAACCAUGAAAAUUAACAAUAAAAUAAUAGGGAAGAACACAAUACUCAAUAAUUGAUCUCAAAAGCUGUGACGGGUUUUACGCCUGCCCUAGAAGCGUAUUUCGCCACCACCGGUACAAGGUUCUCAAUGACGAUUGCUCCCCAAGGGUAACAUAGCUAUCUUCCAACUCUGUACCCCGAUUGGAAGGCUGGAAUUACUUCAAGAACUGCUCAGAUCUCUAUGGGAUAAUGAUGACAGAGAAAGUAAUUUUUAGGCUUUUUAUAUAUGUUUCUCUAUGUCUCUGGGUUUUUAUGUUUCUCUAUGUCUCUGGGUUUUUAUGUUUCUCUAUGUCUCUGG